AACAGGAAAGAGCCCAAACCGGCAGAUUUAUCUGCCGGGGUUGUAGGACUGAGACAUGGCACUUCAGAGGAUAGCAGAAGCGUUUGGGAAAGCGCGCCAGAGAGGGUGAGAGCCCCGUAAGCGAAAUCCAAAGAAGGCCUAUCAGUAUCCUGAGUAGGGCGGGACACGUGAAAUCCCGUUUGAAUCCGCGAGGACCAUCUCGCAAGGCUAAAUACUAACCAGUGA
This 225-nucleotide ribosomal RNA is filed under the name Lactobacillus delbrueckii subsp. bulgaricus. RNAcentral describes it as "partial 23S ribosomal RNA". It matches the Rfam family "Bacterial large subunit ribosomal RNA", at positions 256 to 483 of the family's 2925-position model. The record is from RNAcentral. Lineage: Bacteria; Bacillati; Bacillota; Bacilli; Lactobacillales; Lactobacillaceae.